This 570-nucleotide long non-coding RNA is filed under the name Olea europaea (common olive). Its description in RNAcentral is "long non-coding RNA (OEUR_LNC002036)". Lineage: Eukaryota; Viridiplantae; Streptophyta; Magnoliopsida; Lamiales; Oleaceae. The record is from RNAcentral.
UGACUGUGCCAAUAAGGACCAACAUUCCAUCUUAAAGUCCAUAUUACAUCAACAGACAAUUUCCCUGUGUAAUUCCAUGAAUAUGUUGAUGCAUUGUUUGACAACAGGAGACUUUAUGGCAAAAUUUAUGCUGCAAGAAUUUGAAGUAGCUUUUGGGGACAUUUAGUCAGACUAAAUCAUAAACCAAAUAAGCCAACUUCAACUAGUAUAAGGACAGUCCAUAUUAAUUUAGGCUGUGUCUAGCCACUCUGAACCAAAACAACUGAGAUCUCUCCCAAGCACAAAAUACUGCAUCCACCUUCGAAUCAUUCUUCAAUGGGCUUCAACCUAAACUCCUAAAGUUCUAACCCGAAUCUAAUGCAAACAGGUUCUUUAGCACUCUGGAAAUCCAUGGUGACAGACAGUUUUGAUAAAAACAAGGAGAAAAAUAACUGACAAUAUAGAUGGACUUAACAAAACAAUGAAGAAAUUAAGAUGAGAACAGUGAUGUGGUAGAAAAUCAUAAAAGAAGACAAAUUUAUUCACUGAGGCAUUGCAGGAAAUUAGGAAAUAAAGCUGAAAAUUACACNU